UCAGUCGACUCCUACGGGGAGGCAGCAGUGGGGAAUAUUGCACAAUGGGGGAAACCCUGAUGCAGCCAUGCCGCGUGUGUGAAGAAGGCCUUCGGGUUGUAAAGCACUUUCAGUAGGGAGGAAGGUAGUGUAGUUAACACCUGCACUAUUUGACGUUACCUACAGAAGAAAGCACCGGCUAACUCCGUGCCAGCAGCCGCGGUAAUACGGAGGGUGCGAGCGUUAAUCGGAAUUACUGGGCGUAAAGCGCAUGCAGGCGGCCUGUUAAGUCAGAUGUGAAAGCCCGGGGCUUAACCUCGGAAUUGCAUUUGAAACUGGUAGGCUAGAGUCUUGUAGAGGGGGGUAGGAAUUUCAGGUGUAGCGGUGAAAUGCGUAGAGAUCUGAAGGAAUACCAGUGGCGAAGGCGGCCCCCUGGACAAAGACUGACGCUCAGAUGCGAAAGCGUGGGGAGCAAACAGGAUUAGAUACCCUGGUAG
This 476-nucleotide ribosomal RNA is filed under the name uncultured bacterium. RNAcentral's name for it is "bacterial SSU rRNA". It matches the Rfam family "Bacterial small subunit ribosomal RNA", at positions 328 to 793 of the family's 1533-position model. The record is from RNAcentral.